RNAcentral lists this ribosomal RNA (440 nucleotides) under uncultured bacterium. Its description in RNAcentral is "partial 16S ribosomal RNA". It matches the Rfam family "Bacterial small subunit ribosomal RNA", at positions 338 to 795 of the family's 1533-position model. The record is from RNAcentral.
CCUACGGGUGGCAGCAGUGGGGAAUAUUGGACAAUGGGGGGAACCCUGAUCCAGCGACGCCGCGUGAGUGAAGAAGUAUCUCGGUAUGUAAAGCCCUAUCAGCAGGGAAGAAAAUGACGGUACCUGACUCAGAAGCCCCGGCUAACUACGUGCCAGCAGCCGCGGUCAUACGUAGGGGGCAAGCGUUAUCCGGAUUUACUGGGAGUAAAGGGAGCGUAGACGGGGCAGCAAGUCGGAUGUGAAAGGGCGGGGCCCAAACCCGGGACUGCAUUGGAAACUGUUGAACUGGAGUAAAGGGGAGGUAAGCGGAAUUCCUGGUGGAGCAGUGAAAUGCGUAGAUAUUGGGAGGAACACCAGUGGCGAAGGCGGGUUACUGGACUGUAACUGACGUUGAGGCUCGAAAGCGAGGGGAGCGAAAGGGAUUAGAUACCCGAGUAGUC